UACGUAGGGUGCAAGCGUUAAUCGGAAUUACUGGGCGUAAAGGGCUCGUAGGCGGCCAACUAAGUCAGACGUGAAAUCCCUCGGCUUAACCGGGGAACUGCGUCUGAUACUGGAUGGCUGGAGGUUGGGAGAGGGAUGCGGAAUUCCAGGUGUAGCGGUGAAAUGCGUAGAUAUCUGGAGGAACACCGGUGGCGAAGGCGGCAUCCUGGACCAAUUCUGACGCUGAGGAGCGAAAGCCAGGGGAGCAAACGGG
This 253-nucleotide ribosomal RNA is filed under the name uncultured bacterium. RNAcentral's name for it is "partial 16S ribosomal RNA". It matches the Rfam family "Bacterial small subunit ribosomal RNA", at positions 524 to 776 of the family's 1533-position model. The record is from RNAcentral.